RNAcentral lists this ribosomal RNA (262 nucleotides) under uncultured bacterium. Its description in RNAcentral is "partial 16S ribosomal RNA". It matches the Rfam family "Bacterial small subunit ribosomal RNA", at positions 515 to 776 of the family's 1533-position model. The record is from RNAcentral.
CCGCGGUAAUACGGGAGUGGCAAGCGUUAUCCGGAAUUAUUGGGCGUAAAGCGUCCGUAGGCGGCUUUUCAAGUCUGCUGUUAAAACGUGGAGCUUAACUCCAUCAAGGCAGUGGAAACUGAUUGGCUUGAGUGUGGUAGGGGCAGAGGGAAUUCCCGGUGUAGCGGUGAAAUGCGUAGAUAUCGGGAAGAACACCAGUGGCGAAGGCGCUCUGCUGGGCCAUAACUGACGCUCAUGGACGAAAGCCAGGGGAGCGAAAGGG